Molecule: non-coding RNA, 2256 nt
Organism: Pantherophis guttatus
Lineage: Eukaryota; Metazoa; Chordata; Lepidosauria; Squamata; Colubridae
Source: RefSeq, a predicted model, not a curated record
GCGUGGCAGUGUGAGAUGUUUCCCAUUCCUUAUCCAGAACAAAGUCAGGAAUGAAACAAGAUCCAAGAUCCCGUAAAAGUGGAUUAUUAUUUCCAAGCAUCUGAGAAGCUUCAGACAGCUGCAGCUGGGAUAAGACCUCCAUGUCCAACGUCAAACCGGAAAACGGGCAAAAUUAAAAAUUACUUCUCACCUAGAAGAAAACCGCUUGCACUUUUCAAAGGAGCUUAAAAAUUAUCAACAAUAUUACUGAGAUCUAAUCAAAUAAUUACCUAGAUAAUACGAAGCUUGGAUUAAAACUGAGGUUUUGGCUUUUUUAAAAAAAAACACCAGGCAUAAGCAUAAAGAAGAAUUUCCAGGGGCUAAUAAGACGACAACAAACAUUUGAGGGAUUGUCGACAGCUUGGAACAAGGCCAGAUGAACAACCGUAGCGAAUGCUUCAUUUCCCACAAAGACGUUUCCACGUGUCAAAGUUUCUUGCGGUGCCACUUUGCCCAUCUAAAGAGGCAGAUGGCCCAACAGAGGGCAGAGUACGAAGCUAUUAUUUUAAGCCUGGAGCAACAGAAUAAAGAAAGGGACAUAAAGAUUAAGGAUCUACAUUCAAAACUGAAUCAGCAACGACAGUGGCAUCAUUUAGUGGAAAUUAAAAUAGGCAAUGCAGAGAGGGCACGCAAGGAUGCAGAGAAGAAAAAUGAAACACUUCAGAGAGAAAUGGAAGAGUUUUUUUGUACUUUUGGAAAACUGACAAGUGAAGAAAAACUGCCGGAGCAAAUUACUCAAAAUUUUUAGAUGCUAUUUGAUCCUAACUUCAUCUGACAAAAAAAAAAAACCCUAUAAAUGUACUAAUUAUCCAAGUAUUUAAAGGUAAAAAUACAAAUGAAGUUCCUCUUUGUUACAUUUUUUAAAACACUAAAUGUUUAGUAAGCUUUUGUUUGAAUGGUUAGAGAAUUACAUUUUUAAAACUGAGCCUGGAAUGGUUUAUGUACUGGAAGAAAAAUCUAGAAUAAGUAUUUGUUAAGAGUAGAAAACAGAAUUUCUAUAGCAAGCCCCAUUCUUGCAUCCCCUGCAAGAGGAGAAAAAGAAAGACUGAGAGUUGUUUUGAAUUGCGAAAUCCAGUUUGGGAUCCUGCAAUGAAUCCAAACAUCUCUCAAGAUUCAAAUGUGUUGUUACAAUUAUUGAUAGACCAUAAUUAUAUGUGAUCUGACUUCCAUUAAAAAUGAUACAAGCAUAUAUGUGAAAGUAACAACAGAUCUUAGUACAGGGCAACCAACACUUAGGAGGAGGAGGAGGAGUUAGUGAGAGGACUGUUAGAUUCAGAAAGAGGUCUAGUACUGAAAGUUACGUCAGAUGUUUUAACAGGAGGGAUCUUCAAAUUUCUACAAUUUAGCUGAUUUAAUACACAAGAUUCAAUCAGUCAUAGUUUUGCUGAAAAGGAGCUCGACAGUUUAACUGCUUUUUUGUGUGUAAAAGAGAAUAUUUCCCCUCUCACAUUUUGCAUUUUACAAGUACAAGUACAUUUUGCAUUUUACAAGUACAGUUAUGGCAUCUAGUGGGUUACAUAUUUUGGAUCUUGGUAAAUGUCUUAAGAAAUGUCAAGGUUCAAAGUCACUGAAGCUCACUCGUAGGAGUCAUUAUACAAUCAUGAGGACAUUUUGAAUGAGCCUAUUUUUCCAGAAGAAUUUUCCAUUUUGUAAUAAAGUCCGUCAGCUUCUUGUUUAGUGUUCUGUAGAUGUCUUUGUAAUAGGAAAUCUUGGCAUAGCAACAAAAAGAGGAAGAAAAAGAAAGGUUCUUUUUUUCUAUUAUUAUUUGAAAUACAGAUGUUUAAUUUUAAUGAACAUUACAAAAAAUAUUUAUUUUUGACGUUUCUUUCUGUAGCUUCAGGCCAACAAUGUACUUACUUUGGAAUCUAUAAAUGCAUUAAAAUAUGUAGAUCAAACAGUGCCUUCCUUGAAAUCAUGGAGAUGCAUGUCAUGAUAAAAUACAAAUAUUUUAAAUUUAAAAAGAUGUCCCUAAUUAAUAACCACACCACCAGGUGCUUGUUAACCUUGGCAACCUUAACAGAUAGCUAUUUGGUGCAAUCUGUUUGAGGUUUGUAUAGAAUUUGUUUUAAUUACAUCCAUUUUUAAUGCUGAUUUUCCUGCUUUUAAAUGCCAGUUUUUAUAUAUGUAUUCUUUUUUUAUUAUUCUAUAUCAUCCAGAGACAUUUCUGUGAGAUGAAUGGCUAUGUAAGUCUGAUUAAUAAAUUGAUUACAGCAAGAA